RNAcentral lists this unclassified non-coding RNA (285 nucleotides) under Ascomycota sp. RNAcentral describes it as "partial contains small subunit ribosomal RNA, internal transcribed spacer 1, and 5.8S ribosomal RNA". The stretch from base 1 to 47 matches the Rfam family "Eukaryotic small subunit ribosomal RNA", at positions 1785 to 1831 of the family's 1831-position model. Lineage: Eukaryota; Fungi; Ascomycota. The record is from RNAcentral.
AAAGUCGUAACAAGGUCUCCGUAGGUGAACCUGCGGAGGGAUCAUUACCGAGUUAGGGUCCUCUGGGCCCGACCUCCCAACCCUGUGUGUACUGGACCAACUGUUGCUUCGGCGGGCCCGUCCCCUCUGACGAAGGGGACCGCCGGGGAGACCGUCAGACGUCUUCCUGGCCCGCGCCCGUCGGUGGCCAACCUUAACAAAUUCUUGUACUAAACGUGUCAUUUGUCUGAGUACCUGAUUGUAAAAUCAUAAGUAAAACUUUCAACAACGGAUCUCUUGGUUCUG